GAAGCAUCGUAGUUUUUACGAAAAGUAAACCGAUAUAAGCUUAUGGAAGAUGGCGGAAGUCUAAUUAUGUGUCAGCGAAAACAUGUGUUGUUUGCAAUAAGAUUUCAACUCUCUCCUCGAUAGUUCUGAAAUUGAACUCGUCAUGGCAAACACAAUACGAUUUCUCGAUGACUGAACUGGAUCCUUUCUAAAUUAUGAAGUGCAAAGAAACAUGCUUUCAGCGAAAUGAAAGACAGCGAAUAUUUUUCGUGUUCUUGUUCCACAGAAAUGGAGUGAAGUACUGGAAUAUCAAGGACGGCUUCUUCGUUUACACGGUACGGAAUGAAUUUAAAAGCCGUACAGAGUCUACAGACUUUACAGUUGCUCUGGAACUAUAGAAUGGUUCUGGAAAACUUUCAAGCCGAUGUUCAGCAAUUACAACUGAGGAAGAAAAUGAUUGGAUUAUUUAGGAUAGAAUUGGACAAAGAUAAGUAAAUCUGUGUAGUCGUCAUUCCUCUCAUUCUAAUGUUCCGAAGAAGCUUCGAAACGUUCAAUCAAGCUUCAAAAGUUCUUGGUGCACAGAUCAAAGUACACUGGCCUGUCGAAGAAUCCCUGACCCACUGCUAAGAUAAGAAUGCACUUGCUGAAAAAUAAGACCAUUUAUUUCCAGAAUUCAUGAUUGAGUCAUGAAAAGAGUAAUUAAAAUAUCCCUAAUCUAUAUUUUGGAUGCAUUUUUUCACUUUGAACUGUCUAAAAACAAAAACAAAGUAUUGCCUCUAUAGUUGAUCAUCUUUGCAUCGAUGCAUGGACAAUAGAUGUAAGUAUUUCACAAUAUUGAGGAUGAAAUGUUACUUUGUUAAGCGUUUAUCAGCUCUAUAAUUUAUACUUUCGCAAAGCUAAAUAAGUUUUUCUAGAACCUCUUGAAACAGACCUUCUUUCACUGAUUAAACCAUGGAGCUGCGAUUGUAACAUCUUUGUUUAUGAUGAGUUACCGGUUAGAUUG
Molecule: long non-coding RNA, 982 nt
Organism: Argiope bruennichi
Lineage: Eukaryota; Metazoa; Arthropoda; Arachnida; Araneae; Araneidae
Exons: 4
Source: RefSeq, a predicted model, not a curated record